GGAUAAGGGAGCACGUACAGCCUGUCUGGUGCUGAGACAUGGCUUGUGGAUGUGUCCACCGGCUGUCUGCAGACUGAUGUCAUGUUAGCUGAAAGAGCUGGAUCUCAGACUAAGUUACUUGGGUCCACUGAAUUAAAGCACCGAUGCCCACGUGUGGUAGAGGUCAAUCAGGGCUCUGCUCACGGGCUGGGACAGGGAAGAGAAAGCCUAAUCUAGCCAAAAUACCGACUGCUCACAGUAUCAGAUAUUCUUUGGUAGCCUUCAAGGCUAACCCUAGUGCUGCUGAAGAUAAGCAGUAAGGAUGAACUUCAUGAUAGACUGGACUUAAAUGCGCAGCUACUGAGAUUUUCCUCAUGAGAGUUAAGAGUUCACUCACCUUGGUAGUGCUGCGUCCUGCUAGAGUUCUCCCUGAGAGUGUCUUCCACAGAAGAGUGCUUCUGGUCAUCAGAAAUGAGCAUAUCCAGGUCAUAAAAUACACUGUGAGGUGAAUUGUGAUGUACUGCAGCUGUUACAGCCUUCAACUGCUUAAAUUUGUCAUGGAUAAAAUAAUUCUCCUGGAUUUUGGAAUAUAUAUUUACAUGAACAUAAUGGAAUACGUAUGUUUCAAAUGCAUUAUUAUAUUUGGUAAGUAUUUCAUGUAUAUUUCUUAUAAUUAAGUAUUUAUAUUAAUGAAUCAGUGAGUAUUCUUCAACAGAAACAUCUCAAAACACGCGAGGAAAGCCAGACUUUACUAUGUUGCCAUUAUCUUUGCUGUGAUGGAAAAAAUUCCCAACAGUUCCAACUGAUAAAAAUGAAAGCCUUGGUUGGAUUUCAGAGGGGGAAGACAACACGAUUUUCAAAAACAUUUUAUUAAAAAAAACCCCACUCUUAUGUUUUAAAAUGAUUAAUUUUUUCAGUUGCCCAGAAGUGUUGGGGACAAAGUCUGGACAUUUUGAUAGAAUGUCGAUGACAACUUCUGUGGGAAGAAAAAGCACUCGAAGUUCCUCACGCAUAUAAAUAUGCACGCAUAAAAUAUAUAUAAUUUAAUUCAGACAGUGGUGGUAGAGGUUAUUCAGAGAUAGCGUGGACCAUUAAUCAUUAGAGGCUUUCAAGUAUCAGGUGGAGCUAUGGCCAACUCACUAGCUUGAGUAGAAUACGGAUCCUACUGAUUUCAGCAGGGGUACAUGGCUAAAAGUCAGCCCUUAACAGGAGUGGUAUUUUUCAGGGGUCUCUGGUGAGUCUGAUGAGCUUGGAGGCAGAGGUAAGUCGUCACCUCCACUGGGAUCUGUCAAAACAAACUCAGCAAUUCAGAUCCAGGUUUUGUGAGUGGCAUUGAAAUCCCAGAUUCUUUUACAAAUGAAGAAAGGCUUUAUGCAAUUCUAUUUGAAUUUUCUUUCACCUUAUAUCACGGGCACAAUAAUCGUUUGUGAAAUUGUGAAGCAGAAGAAUGACAGGUGACUACACAUAAUGGCAACUUUCAUGACAGAAGACGUGAGGUACAAGGAGGAAAUCAAAAACAUAUGUCAAAGAGAGGGCUACUUUACAAGUACUGGAAGAAUCUGGCUCUGACUUUCAUACAACUUAGGAAAAAUUGCCCAGGUUGGAAAAGGCUCCCCGUGUGCUCAGCAGAAUACACAGAAUACAGUGCUGGUGCACAAAGACACUGAAAACAAAGCAACAAAAAGGUAAGACAAAUGUGGGAACACGUAGUACGGGAGAGAGAAAUUGUUAUGAAAACAAGGUAUGGCCUGUAGGCUAAUAGAAAUUAAUAUAAUUAGGAGCAUAUGAAAUGUUCAUAAAAUUAGGACAGGGAGAGCCUUUUUAAAAUUUGUUUUUAAGUGAAUUAGUUAAGAAUAAAAACCUUUUCUUUUUUUUUCCUGAUGAGCAACAGUGAGCACAGAACUUGAGGUGUUCUCUAGAAGUGGGACUUCUGAAUUGCUUUGGGCUGCUUUUUCAUGUCAGUGCAAACUUAACAGGUGAGGAACUUCCAUUCAGCCCCAGUCUGAAGCAGAACAGGAAUUAACUUCUUACCACAACAAACAGUUUUUCGGUGGAUUCAGGUUUAGGUGUAUCUGAGUUCACAGUUCCUUCUCUGACUGAUGCAUAAAAUGCAUCUGAUUCAAAAAUUUUAAUAAAGGACAGCUCUUCCAUGAUGCAUUUGUUUAAGAAUUCCCUAAACUUAAUUUUAAUACAUAAUAUGAGAUCUUUUAGGGGUUUUGUAGUUUUCCUGGAGAGCCAACUAUAGCACUCAGCGUGUCUCUUAGCAACCUGCCAAAACAAAGCUCUGCUCCAAUUACUUGUAAUCUGCCAACAGUUUGAGCCAAAUUCCUCCAGUAAGAGUAAGCACAACCAUACCAUGCUGCAUGUAGUUUCCCACUGUCCAAUGACAAGGUUUGUCCCAACUUCCUACUACAUUUUGCUCCUGGGAGUAGACUUACGGAAUAACCCCCAGUUUCAUAUCACUGCAAGAUUAAUUUAUUUCAUCCUUUGGGUUCCUGCCUCAGGGGCAACAGAAAACCAAGUACCACACAGGACUCAAACCUGGGGCACAGCCAACAGCAG
This 2541-nucleotide long non-coding RNA is filed under the name Gallus gallus (chicken). RNAcentral describes it as "lncRNA (ENSGALG00010015531.1)". Lineage: Eukaryota; Metazoa; Chordata; Aves; Galliformes; Phasianidae. The record is from RNAcentral.